GCCAACUCGUUAUCCUGGCGUUUCUGCUCCAUUUCAAUUCUUAUGUCGUUUUGCCUUGCAAUUUCCUCCAAAAACUUUGAAUUAUUAUUGCUUGAAUCACCCGCUUUCUUUGCCUUCGCGGCCUUUCGGCCAAUAGGCCUCGGCUCCUUUUCAAUUGGUGAGUCUUGACUCAUAGGGGAAUCGAGAGGUGAAUCCGAUGUCAUUGAAUCACGGAGUGGCAUCUCGUUUAACACAACGGCGAGACCCGUC
RNAcentral lists this long non-coding RNA (249 nucleotides) under Prunus persica (peach). RNAcentral's name for it is "long non-coding RNA (PPER_LNC004540)". Lineage: Eukaryota; Viridiplantae; Streptophyta; Magnoliopsida; Rosales; Rosaceae. The record is from RNAcentral.